GUGUGUCCCAUCGGCCGUCGGCGACAGAGCCUCAGCCAUGGCGAGGAAGACCCACGAGCAGCAAGCCCAGCGGCUGUGACGCACACGGCCGCAGGCGACAGUGCCUCAGCCAUGGCAGAAUCGCAGCGGAUAGACGGUCUCCAGGAACCAUUCGUGGUACUUAGAGGUCAACAUUUGCCCGAUGGCAAACCCAAUCGUCGUCCCACUUCCAAAUCCCAUGAAUAUGACAAUCCAAUCAGCUCCACUAGGAAAUGUUGAAUCCUUGCUUCCUUCGGAGUCUACAGGCUGCGGUGACAAUGUUGGUGAGGGAGCAUCCAAUUCUCCACAGUGCCUUGACAGCGGCUCCCCGCAAAGUCCUGAAUUCCCUUCAUACGAGUUGUUCUGAAACGUAUUGAAUUGAUGACCUUUUGGGACAUGUCCAACAAGAUUAUUGUGGGAGACAUUAAAGAAUGCAAGGAAAGUGAGUUGUGUUAAUUGUUGAGGGAUCUCCCCCGAGAGCUUGUUUUGAGCAAGGUCCAAGGCUUCAAGGUUGGAGAGGUCCCCCAAGAAUGAUGGGAUUCCACCACUCAACUCGUUGUUAGAGAGGUUCAGUAGCUGAAGUGCCUUGAGAUCUCCCAAAGAUUUUGGAAUUCCCCCUUCAAAUUUGUUGCUUGAGAGAUCAAUGCCAAUGAAAAUGUCCAAAGUCUUAAUAUACUCUCUGGCUACACCUUUGUUUGUUAUGGUCAUAGAGUAGAAAAAAUCGUGUUCCCACCAUAUACCUGGUAGCAACUGAAACUCGAUGGGGGGGAUUGCUUGAUUUGUCUCUUUUUUUCCAAGUGGUUUCAUUGCAUUCCAACUACGAAUGUAUUUUGUUGGCAAAUCACCUGAAAAACCAUUGCGGGAGAGGACGAUGAUGCGUAACUUUGAGAACUCAAACUUGGUUCUUGGACUCCUUAUUGCACCAUAGAAUUUGUUGGAGUGCAAGUUGAGAACCUCUAGCUCUGUAAGAGUUCCCAACCAAAAAGGGAAUGCAUCUUCAAUUAGAUUAUCGGAGACGUCAAGAAUCUUAAGCUCGGUACAAUUUGCCAAUGAUUUUGGUAGUUUCCCUGAUAGUCGAUUCUGAGCGAAGCCAAUUAACUCUAGAUUGUUUCCUUUAUUGUAUGCCUGGGGAAUGGGACCGUAGAAGUUGUUGCGUCCAAGAUCAAGAACUGAUAGAGAAUCACUGAAGUUGCUCAGACAUGGAGGAAUUAAUCCUGUCAAAUUGUUGUUAGACAAAUUAAGAAUGUAAAGGGAACUCAAUGUACAGAUCAAUGGGGAAAGUUUUCCAAUGAUUGCAUUGUCUGAGGCAUAAUAAGCGAGAAUAGAUGUUGGUGGAAUUGGCAGCCUUCCCUGCAACUUGUUGUAGCUAAGGUCUAACAGGCUUAACUUAGCCCAAGGAAGAAUAAUUGGUUGUUGCUCAAAGCCUGUGAGAUUGUUUCCUUGCAGGCGUAAUAUCCCGAGAGUAUCUUUACUUAUGUUUAACAUCCAGGCUGGAAUUUGGCCGCGAAUUCUAUUGUUUACAAGAGAAAGCUCCUCAAGUUGAUUUUGGAAGCUCAAAAAAUAUGGGAAAUCUCCGAGGUUGCAUGAAUCGAACUGUAACCUCUUGAAAUUCAAGAGAGUAGUGUUGGUGGAAAGGCCUAUGGUAGCAUGCUGGAUUUUGUUUGCAGGAAAUGAAAGGACCGAACCUUGUAAAUCUAUGCCAUUAAGGUACAAUGUGGUGAGGCUAGUCAGAUUCCAAAGCCAAAACAUGCUUCCUACAUCAAAUUCAUUGUGAGAAAGUUCUAAAUCACGGAGUCGUGAUAAGCCUGCCAAAGAAAGAAUCUGACCACUAAAGUUAUUAUAUUCAAGAUUCAGAACAGUGAGUUGCGUCCGGUUAAGUGAAGCUGGAAUGGAUCCUGAGAACUUGCAGCGUGAUAAGUCCAACUUAUCUAGGAAACUGAGAUUUCCUAUCGUGUUUGGUAGCUCACCAGAGAAAUUGGUGGAAGCAAGUAUCAACUUUUGAAGUGAACUAGAGUGCUGAAAUUCUGGCAAAUGGCCAGUAAGGAGAUAAUUAUCACGUAAGUUGAGAACUCGAAGCUUUGGUAGAUGGAAUAUGGAUGUGGGAAAUGUUCCAUACAACCCACAAUCACUCAAGCUUAUAGUUUUCAGAGAAGAGAUGUUGGGCAAUAUUAAUUUGGAAGUUAUAUUCACCUGACCGAGAUGAAUUUCUUCUAGGCUAGUUAAGUUUUGAAGCAAGCUCUGGAGACCAGGCUUUUCAAGUCUCAAUGGUCCUGAAUUUUGUGAAAGAUCAAGUGAAAUCAAUUUGGACAAUCUGGAAAUUUCCACAGGGAUAGGGCCAGAAAAUACAGAUAGAGAAAGGUUGAGAGUUGUUAGCAGCAAAAGAUGGCUGAUUUCCGAUGGGAUUUGGGAGUAAUUGAAGUGGUUAUCAGCAAGGUUGAGCCUCCUAAGAUGCACUAGGCUGAAGAGGCUGCUGUUGGACUUGAUAGAGCCAAAGAGGAAACUGCUACUGAGGUCAAGAUCAACUACAUGACCUGUAGACUGGUCACACUCGACGCCAUCCCAGGAGCAGCAGUCGCUGCCUCCACCAACUUUGAACUUCCACGAUCGUAGCUUCCAGUAUGCCAAGGGAUCAGAAGAUGCAGAUUUAUUGAAAGAAAAUGCUUGCUUGAAUUGCAAAAGAGCAGAGCUCUCUUCAGCAUGGCAGAGUGGCUGCACGGAAGAGAAAUUAUUAGGAGUUGACGUAAUAAGUUGAAAGCAACAGAUCAUCAAGUGCAUGAACAUAAAGAAAUAUAAAGAGGAAGCCAUGGUAUGUGGCCCAAUUCUUUGGUACUCUUGGAUGAUCAAAAAGAAUGUUAAUGGGGGGAUUUAUAAAGAAGGGGUAUGAGGCAUAUUAAUUAAUUUUCAUUUGACUCUUGAAAUCCCAUUUAAUUGUGGGGAUGGAAAAUUUGAUGGGUGAUAAAAAAAAUUCAAAGUGGACAAUGAUGCAUUUUGAUCAUGAUCAGGCAGCAGUACUGUGUUAUUCAAAUUUGCCAACAAGUUGAAUAUGUAGACCAUAAGCCUUAAUUGGGUGGAAAAUUAUGCACUUGACUUUUUUGGCAUAUAUUUAAUAGGAAGUUGUUGAAGUUUCAUGUUCCAUGACUUUUAUCAUGGACAAUGAUGCACUGGACUUUUUUUAAUCACCCAUUUUGUGCUUGUGUUGAUUGGUUUGGCUAAUUUGCUUUUUCACUUUUAAUUAAUUUAUUUAACUUGCAUAAUUUAUGAGUUACCGUAUACACAUGAAUUUUGUUUAGUGUGCACUUAAAAGAUCAUAUAUUUUUUUUACCUAAUCAUUCUUAACUUAUAAUUGUCAUCUUUUAAAUGCAUAUCGAUGAAAUUACAUAUAAAUUUUGAAUUACUAAGGAAAUGAGUAUAUAUAAUCUAUUACCAACCUUGAAAGAUAGUUUUACAAAUCUUUAAAGGGUUGGAUUUGUUGGUCUUUGCCAUAAGGGAGGCUUAUGGAUAUGGUGAGAUCUUUGACCCCCAGACUAGAGGCUGGCACCUCUAAAGGGUUGGAUUUGUGGGUCUCCAGCUUGAACUUGUUGAGUGGUGGGUGCCAUAAGGGAGAGUUAUGGUGAGAUCUCCGUGUUAUGCAAAUUUUGCAACAAGUUGAAUAUGUAGACCAUAAGACUUAAUUAGGUGGACAAUGAUGCACUGGACUUUUUUGGCAUACAUUUGAUAGGAAGUGAUUGAAAUUUAAUGCUCCAUGACUUCUAUCAUCAAACUCCAGCUGAGUCCCCUUUUCACAUUUUCAAUGUCUGUGCUUUCCCAUUUUGUGCUUGUGCUGAUUUGUUUGGCUAAUUAGCUUAUGAACACUAGCAAUGUCCUGUUUGGAAACUUGCAUACAAACAGAGCCUUGAUUAAGAGCUUUAACUCCGUUGAAAGGGACUGGAUUAGUGAAGGAAAAACUUAUGUGAAUUCCAGUAAAUUUCAUUUAUCUGGUAAGCCCAUGAAUGCAUAUUAGUGAGAUGAUUUCACCUGGAAAUAGAUGACUGAAACAUUGGCCAUUCAAUCCCACGAAGCUAGAAGAAAUACACAUGGUAUUAUGCAUAAAAUUGGUCUCAUAAAACAUAUUAUCAGAUCAACUUCAAUUCCCUUCCCUCUUCUCUUCCUCUUGCUUCCCUGAUUUUGUUUUUGCCUCCCAAAGGUCUCUCCAAGAACCAUUCGUGAUACUUACAAGUUAGCAUUUUCCCCAUGGCAAUCACAACCAUUGUCCCAACUCCAAAUCCCGUGAAUAUGAGAAUCCAAUCAGCUAUGCCAAGCAAUGAUGAAUCUUUGCUUUCUUCAGAGUGACGGUGGCGGCGGCAGCAAUUACAAGUCCCUUCGUCCGAGUUGUUUUGAGAUGGUUGUUAAGAGAUCCCACCUAGAAGUUUGUUUUGAGAAAAGUGCAAGGUAGAGGAAGAGACCAUAAGCAGCUCAGAAAGGCUUCAAAUAAAAGGAUGGCAAGUAACCCCUUUUAUACGCAUCUAAUUUGUUGAGUAAAGCAUUUAAUUGCUGUUAAAUCCCUGAAUAUAAAUCUAACCAGUUUGUCUAAUUAGUUAAUUGGAUUAUAUUCUGUUUUAGAUGCAACUGUGAGUUAAUUGUGCUAUCAAUCUUAUCAUAAUGAAGUGUUGUUACAAAAA
RNA transcript from Diospyros lotus (date-plum), 4676 nucleotides. RefSeq lists it as uncharacterized. The transcript is spliced from 3 exons. The record is from RefSeq and is a predicted model, not a curated record. NCBI's taxonomy places the organism in Eukaryota, Viridiplantae, Streptophyta, Magnoliopsida, Ericales, Ebenaceae.